AAUUAUUUAGGGAUACAAAGACAUAUUGCCAGAGGUUUCCUUUAAGAGACUACAGCUGGCCGUGCGCGGUGGCUCACACCUGUAAUCCCAGCACUUUUGGAGGCCGAGGCGGGCGGAUCACAAGGUCAAGAGAUCGAGACCAUCCUGGCUAAUACAGUGAAACCCCAUCUCUACUAAAAAUACAAAAAAUUGGCCGGGCGUGGUGGUGGGCACCUGUAGCCCCAGCUACUCAGCAGGCUGAGGCCCAAGAAUAGCAUGAACCCGGGAGGCAGAGCUUGCAGUGAGCCGAGAUUGCACCACUGCAUUCCAGCCUGGGUGACAGAGCAAGACUCGUCUCAAAAAAAAAAUAAAACCCCACAGCCAAAAGAAAAAACAAAAGAGAGAGAGAAGAAGGGCAGAGAGAAAAAGGGAGGGAGAAAAGGAGGAGGAAGAAUGAAAGUUGAAGCAAAUAUGGCAUUAUGUUCAUCACUGUUGAAUCUAGGAAUAGGUAUUUUCUCUAGUUUUGUGAAUGUUUGAAUAUUUUCAUAAUAAAACAGGGUUUCAAAAGGCUUUCUGGGAAAGUAAAUGUAAAGGAGUUGAUAAAAAUAAUGUCAAACAAUCUUUGCAUUCAUUUCAUUCCUGUAGCUUUUCCCAGGCUUCUGCGAGCCAGCCCCUGAAGGCUUCAUUGGCCACAGACAUCUGAACCAACUAAGAGCAGGAAUUCCCCUGAGGGAGAGUGUGCCUGAGAAUGGAAAGAACAAGGAGGAGAAUAAGGCAAAGAGAUGGAGAGACUGCAUCCUGAUGACAUCUUUAGAGCCCGUGGAGCUAGGCAUGCCAGAAACUGGAAGGUUAAACUACAUGAACCAAUAAAUAUACC
This 856-nucleotide long non-coding RNA is filed under the name Homo sapiens (human). RNAcentral's name for it is "HSALNT0120864". Lineage: Eukaryota; Metazoa; Chordata; Mammalia; Primates; Hominidae. The record is from RNAcentral.